Molecule: long non-coding RNA, 1183 nt
Filed under: Rattus norvegicus (Norway rat)
Lineage: Eukaryota; Metazoa; Chordata; Mammalia; Rodentia; Muridae
Description: long non-coding RNA NONRATT022229
Source: RNAcentral
UUUUUUUUUUUUUUUUUUCUGUUUUUUUGGUUUUUGUUUUUUUUUCUUUUUCUUUUUUCUGUUAUUUUUAAAGCAGACUUCAUCUGAAACGUUCUUGCUUCUAAUGUCCAUCCCUGGACUUUGUGUGUGCUGAAUAUUUGCCGUCCUGAGAAGUGAGGUCCUUUCAUGCGCUCUUCCUGUGUUGUAAUCUUUUUGGUAGAUAUUGAAGCUAUCAAAACGUCCUUUGGAUGUGACAUAAUGCAGCUUGCAUUAGAAAUAUGUGGCCAGCUGCAUUUUACAGGAUCAGUGAGAUUUCUCAUUCUCAGUCGGAAGACAUGAUAUCACCCUGCAUCCUCCGGGAUUCCCUAAUGGAAUUGCCAAAAAGCAAAUGAAGGAAAAAGGAGCCUUAGAGCCUUGAAAUUUUUCAACCUUUAAAGAGCAAAUACUACAGCCACUAUUUUGUUUUGUUUUGUUUUUGUUUUUGUUUUUGUUUCUAAGUUUCAGUGCUCACAGCUCCACUUUGGCCUCUGGGGGGCGGGGCUGGGUCUGGAAUGCAGCCCAUCCCCCACUCUCAACGAGGCGGCCGUCCCGCUGCCUGGGCUCUUGGCCAAAGCCUUGGACCACGAAGUCAGUAGAGCAGAAGCUUCAGUUGGGGGCCCUGGAGGAAGCCCCACGGCCAGUAUCCUUCCCCAACCCUGCAGGCGGUGACCACCCAGGCCCGUCCCGCGGCAGCUGUGGUUGUUACAGCGGCGCCUUGGCUUCUUCCCGGAAUGUGUUACAAGCCCAAAUGCCCCCGGGAGGAGGCCCAAACAAGAUUAGGAACGCUAAUUUGAUCCUGUGUUUUGCCUCAAACUAGACACAGUUCCCUCAGAAGAGCUGAUUAACCAGGUCCACCGGGGAGAGACCAACUGCAGAUCCCUGAACUGGUGGUAUCUCCUUCUGCAAGGCGAUAAAGGGGUGGUUGGCCUAAAUGACAGCAAGGCUGGCUGGUCUUUGUUACACUGUGAACAGUCCCGCACUGCGCCACUUGGUUCAUCCAGGGAUAGCGACUAACGAGACAAUAAAAAAAUCCUUUCCUUUUUGUGUAAUUUCUUCCUCUACUGCGACUCAUGCUCAGUUUAUGGCUGAGGUAAUUCAGAACGCUGAAUCCAUCUUGAGCCACUCCUCCUCCCCUGGGGACCGCACUGCCUAAGGAGCCGCUUUU